GGUGAUAGUUAUGUUGAAUGAUAUGCUUAAUGGAAAUAUUGGUUAAAAGUCUUUUGGCUUCACUCCAUAACGUUGGUAGUUUAUAAAAAUGAGAGAGAGGGUGAAGGAUGAUUAGGCGAUUGAUGAUGAGGAGAAAGGUUGCUUGGUGAAGAGAUCCAUAUAGCAACAUCAUACAUUAAACGAUUUGUGUCAUCCUUAUGAUUACGUGGUUAUGUAUACGUUACAGGGUAUAAAGGGUAUAAAGAAAAAGAG
Lupinus albus (white lupine) is the source of this 252-nucleotide non-coding RNA. The record is from the annotation of a GenBank genome assembly. NCBI's taxonomy places the organism in Eukaryota, Viridiplantae, Streptophyta, Magnoliopsida, Fabales, Fabaceae.